CAGGGAGACAGCAAAAUGUUUAAUAUUAUUAUUUUGUCACCUUAGGUCGAUCGGUACCUCAAGUUGAGAAUCAAAGAAAAGCUGAGUAAUCGGCUUAGAGAUUGAUGAUUGAUUUUAGUUCCUAAACUUGUCUAGGUCACACCCCGCAAGGGUUACUCCUGGGCCAUUAGCUCAGGUGGUUAGAGCGCACCCCUGAUAAGGGUGAGGUCCCUGGUUCAAGUCCAGGAUGGCCCAUUCGGUGUUGGGGGUUUAGCUCAGUUGGUAGAGCGCCUGCUUUGCAAGCAGGAUGUCAGCGGUUCGAGUCCGCUUACCUCCACUGAAACCUAUCCUGAUAACUAAAUUCCGGAGAAAAUUUGUAGAAAUGACUUAGAUUUGUCUAUUUGAAAAGAACCUAGCCUCUUAUCAUCUUUUUAUAGUUGAUAACAUGCUGGGCUCCUAAGGAUUUAUUCCUUGAGACUUCAGUAGAACCUUGAAAACUGCAUAGAUUAGAAAGAAUAAAGCAUCUCAUGGAUGCAUAAUUUUGGAUUGAUUGUUAGCUUCUAAACUAAUGAUCAAUUUUCAGAAUUCAUGUUUAAUUCUUGAGUAAUAGCCGAGCACAAUUGAUUUUGUGUUUGUAUAUAA
RNAcentral lists this transfer RNA (621 nucleotides) under uncultured cyanobacterium. Its description in RNAcentral is "partial 16S-23S ribosomal RNA intergenic spacer". The stretch from base 161 to 234 matches the Rfam family "tRNA". The record is from RNAcentral. Lineage: Bacteria; Bacillati; Cyanobacteriota.